CGGCCUAGAAGGACCCAUAACCAGGGCAAAAAAGGCACGCCAAACUCUUAACCAACUAGUAGGAGUCAUGAUUACACGGCUCAAUAAUGACACUAGACCCAUCUAUUACAUCAGUCAUGAAGAAAAGCCCAUGAAGGCCCCGACCAUGAAGGGAAAAUUGAUGAUUUGAAGCUUGCAUUCAAUAAGUGGGUCCAUAUUUAC
RNAcentral lists this long non-coding RNA (201 nucleotides) under Lupinus angustifolius (narrow-leaved blue lupine). RNAcentral describes it as "long non-coding RNA (LANG_LNC001006)". The record is from RNAcentral. Lineage: Eukaryota; Viridiplantae; Streptophyta; Magnoliopsida; Fabales; Fabaceae.